CCCCUGUGAUGAGUUGCCAUGCUAAUACUGAGACACCAGGUGGGGGUUUUACCCUGCAAUGGGUGUUAUUGAGAUAAAUUCUCCUUCUCUUAAAUCUACCUGAGGGGC
Diceros bicornis minor is the source of this 108-nucleotide small nucleolar RNA. Lineage: Eukaryota; Metazoa; Chordata; Mammalia; Perissodactyla; Rhinocerotidae. The record is from RefSeq and is a predicted model, not a curated record.